Molecule: unclassified non-coding RNA, 463 nt
Filed under: Hevea brasiliensis (rubber tree)
Lineage: Eukaryota; Viridiplantae; Streptophyta; Magnoliopsida; Malpighiales; Euphorbiaceae
Source: RNAcentral
GGGGUGAUACUAGGUUUGGUAAAAGACGAGGAACGGGUUCUUUUGCCAGGACACCUUCUGAUUCAUACCAGAGGAUGAAGCUUAAUCAGUCCGUUUCUGGUCAUGCUGGUCCUGGUAGGGGUCGAGGAAGAGAAUCUGGUGCUUGGGGUCCCUGUGAAUCUAGGUUCGGCUCUGUUGAUAUUGCAUCUCAAUUGGUGCCGCCUCUUCUUUAUGCUGGAAGGGGGCUGCAAAAUGUUUCUAGUGGACAGAGUUCGUCUUGGAAUGCAUUUGGAAUGGUUCCAGGAAUGCCCAAUGGAGGGCUUGAUACACUUCAUACCCUUGGUUUACAGGGAACACUUCGGACAGCCUUGAAUCCUGCCAUGAGCAUGGGAAUUCCAAGGCAAAUGUGUAGAGACUUCGAGGAGCGUGGAUUUUGCCUAAGAGGAGAUAUGUGCCCACUGGAGCAUGGUGUAAAUCGUAUCGU